CUGGUGCCUAAAGUUUGUGCUUUUCCUUUGCCAGGUGAUUUUAUUCAAAGUCUCACUGGGAAUCUCACUGGAGGGAGGGAAAGCACUGAGAACAGGAAGCUGCUUCACCCCAGAGUUCCCUGGUGCCCUUUCCUCCUUCAUCAACAAAGAUACAGAAACUGUAAUUAUCAUGUUGGAAUUCUUUGCUAAUUUGCCACCGGAGCUGAAGGCAGCCCUGUCUGAGACGCAACCAUCGUUACCAGAGCUACAACAAUAUGUACCUGCGUUAAAGGAUUCCAAUCUUAGCUUUGAAGAAUUUAAGAAAAUUAUUCGCAAUAGACAAAGUGAAGCCGCAGACAGCAAUCCUUCAGAAUUAAAAUACUUAGGCUUGGAUACUCAUUCUCAAAAAAAGAGAUGACCCUACAUGGCAGUGUUUGAGAAAUGUUGCCUGAUUGGUUGUACCAAAAGAUCUCUUGCUAAAUAUUGCUGAGAUGAAGCUAAUUGUGCACAUCUCAUCUAAUAUUCACACAUAGUCUUGAUGACAUUUCACUGAUGCUUCUGUCAGAUCCCACUAAUUAUUAGAAUAUAAGAAAUCUUUAUUAAUGUUUAGAUUUUUCAUUUGGUGUGUAAGAAAAUAUUCUUUGUAUGAUUGUAGUUUCUGUAAAUGACACUUUCUAUGCUGAAGUCUUUUUGUCUUUUUAUUAACAGUAUGAUUAUGUUGUGUUAUUCUUUUUAAUGCUGUUAACUUAAAAUUACAAUAAAACAUUUACCACUUU
Molecule: small RNA, 755 nt
Filed under: Pongo abelii (Sumatran orangutan)
Lineage: Eukaryota; Metazoa; Chordata; Mammalia; Primates; Hominidae
Description: processed transcript
Source: RNAcentral